AUGGCCGCCGCCGCCUCCGCCUCCGCCUCCGCCUCGUCUUCUUCCUCCACCUCCACCUCGGCCGGGUCCUCCGCGUCCACCUCCACGCCCCGGCCCGCCCCGCGCCAGGCCGCCGCGGCGCCGUCGUCGUCCCCGGUCUUCCUCAACGUGUACGACGUGACCCCGGCCAACGGGUACGCGCGGUGGCUGGGGCUCGGCGUGUACCACUCGGGCGUGCAGGUCCACGGGGUGGAGUACGCGUACGGCGCGCACGAGGGCGCCGGGAGCGGCAUCUUCGAGGUGCCCCCGCGGCGGUGCCCCGGCUACGCGUUCCGGGAGGCGGUGCUGGUGGGCACCACGGCGCUGACCCGCGCCGAGGUGCGCGCCCUCAUGGCCGACCUCGCCGCCGACUUCCCGGGCGACGCCUACAACCUCGUCUCCCGCAACUGCAACCACUUCUGCGACGCCGCGUGCCGCCGCCUCGUCGCCCGCGCCCGCAUCCCGCGCUGGGUCAACCGCCUCGCCAAGAUCGGGGUCGUCUUCACCUGCGUCAUCCCCAGCAGCAGCAGGCACCAGGUGCGCCGCAAGGGGGAGCCGCAGCUGCCCGCCCCCGUCAAGAGCCGCUCCGCGCGCCAGCCCGCCGCCCCGCCGCGGCCCAGGACCUUCUUCCGCUCCCUCUCCGUCGGCGGCGGCAAGAACGUCACGCCCCGCCCGCUCCAGACCCCGCCGGUGGGGCCCGCCCUGACGUUGACGACGCCGGCACCGACGCCGUUGGCCUCCAUGUAA
Molecule: ribosomal RNA, 765 nt
Filed under: Triticum aestivum (bread wheat)
Lineage: Eukaryota; Viridiplantae; Streptophyta; Magnoliopsida; Poales; Poaceae
Description: partial small subunit ribosomal RNA
Source: RNAcentral